Molecule: long non-coding RNA, 448 nt
Organism: Gadus morhua (Atlantic cod)
Lineage: Eukaryota; Metazoa; Chordata; Actinopteri; Gadiformes; Gadidae
Exons: 2
Source: RefSeq, a predicted model, not a curated record
AAAAACGUGUUGCGGCUGUGAAGCGGGCCAAGCAAUUAACGGGAGGAGGCCGGGUGGACCCAAGCCUUGAACUGACGGCAUUUGAGGAGCGAGUGGCUGGUCUCAUUGGGUCUCCGUCCAUUUCGGGCAUAAGUGGCGGAGGAGACACCGAUGCACUCCAGACCCGUCAUGGAAGUGAUGAAAUGCAAGCAGGUUCAUCCACAAUGGGAACAGAGCCAAGCCCAGUUGAAGAAACGGAAGGGCCGCCACCGCCUAAGGACCCGGAACGCGUGUCUGACCGAAGUGCUGGUCUGCAAUCAUCGGUCUUGACUGCUGAGGUCCUGGACAAACAAACCGAGAUAUGCAGGUCAACGGUGGACAUCAAUAACUCUCUGUUAGCGAUUCAUGAAACGUUGAAACUAAUCAAUGAAAACUUGAAGAAUAAAUAAAUUGGUUUGCUGUACUUUGA